AGAGUUUGAUCCUGGCUCAGAUUGAACGCUGGCGGCAUGCCUUACACAUGCAAGUCGAACGGCAGCGGGGGAAAGCUUGCUUUCCUGCCGGCGAGUGGCGAACGGGUGAGUAAUACAUCGGAACGUGCCCUGUAGUGGGGGAUAACUAGUCGAAAGAUUAGCUAAUACCGCAUACGACCUGAGGGUGAAAGUGGGGGACCGCAAGGCCUCAUGCUAUAGGAGCGGCCGAUGUCUGAUUAGCUAGUUGGUGGGGUAAAGGCCUACCAAGGCGACGAUCAGUAGCUGGUCUGAGAGGACGAUCAGCCACACUGGGACUGAGACACGGCCCAGACUCCUACGGGAGGCAGCAGUGGGGAAUUUUGGACAAUGGGCGAAAGCCUGAUCCAGCAAUGCCGCGUGUGUGAAGAAGGCCUUCGGGUUGUAAAGCACUUUUGUCCGGAAAGAAAUGGCUCUGGUUAAUACCCGGAGUUGAUGACGGUACCGGAAGAAUAAGGACCGGCUAACUACGUGCCAGCAGCCGCGGUAAUACGUAGGGUCCAAGCGUUAAUCGGAAUUACUGGGCGUAAAGCGUGCGCAGGCGGUUGUGCAAGACCGAUGUGAAAUCCCCGGGCUUAACCUGGGAAUUGCAUUGGUGACUGCACGGCUAGAGUGUGUCAGAGGGAGGUAGAAUUCCACGUGUAGCAGUGAAAUGCGUAGAGAUGUGGAGGAAUACCGAUGGCGAAGGCAGCCUCCUGGGAUAACACUGACGCUCAUGCACGAAAGCGUGGGGAGCAAACAGGAUUAGAUACCCUGGUAGUCCACGCCCUAAACGAUGUCAACUAGUUGUUGGGGAUUCAUUUCCUUAGUAACGUAGCUAACGCGUGAAGUUGACCGCCUGGGGAGUACGGUCGCAAGAUUAAAACUCAAAGGAAUUGACGGGGACCCGCACAAGCGGUGGAUGAUGUGGAUUAAUUCGAUGCAACGCGAAAAACCUUACCU
This 978-nucleotide ribosomal RNA is filed under the name hot springs metagenome. RNAcentral's name for it is "bacterial SSU rRNA". It matches the Rfam family "Bacterial small subunit ribosomal RNA", at positions 8 to 976 of the family's 1533-position model. The record is from RNAcentral.